This 387-nucleotide ribosomal RNA is filed under the name uncultured bacterium. RNAcentral describes it as "bacterial SSU rRNA". It matches the Rfam family "Bacterial small subunit ribosomal RNA", at positions 335 to 713 of the family's 1533-position model. The record is from RNAcentral.
ACUCCUACGGGAGGCAGCAGUGGGGAAUAUUGCACAAUGGGGGAAACCCUGAUGCAGCCAUGCCGCGUGUGUGAAGAAGGCCUUCGGUUGUAAAGACACUUCAGUAGGGAGGAAGGUAGUGUAGUUAACACCUGCAUUAUUUGUACGUUACCUACAGAAGAAGCACCGGCUAACUCCGUGCCAGCAGCCGCGGUAAUACGGAGGGGUGCGAGCGUUAAUCGGAAUUACUGGGCGUAAAGCGCAUGCAGGCGGCCUGUUAAGUCAGAUGUGAAAGCCCGGGGGCUUAACCUCGGAAUUGCAUUUGAAACUGGCAGGCUAGAGUCUGUAGAGGGGGUAGGAAUUUCAGGUGUAGCGGUGAAAUGCGUAGAGAUCUGAAGGAAUACCAGU